RNAcentral lists this ribosomal RNA (301 nucleotides) under uncultured bacterium. RNAcentral describes it as "partial 16S ribosomal RNA". It matches the Rfam family "Bacterial small subunit ribosomal RNA", at positions 509 to 807 of the family's 1533-position model. The record is from RNAcentral.
CAGCAGCCGCGGUAAUACGGAGGAUUCAAGCGUUAUCCGGAAUCAUUGGGUUUAAAGGGUCCGUAGGCGGUCUUGUAAGUCAGUGGUGAAAGCCCAUCGCUCAACGGUGGAACGGCCAUUGAUACUGCAGGACUUGAAUUAUUGGGAAGUAACUAGAAUAUGUAGUGUAGCGGUGAAAUGCUUAGAGAUUACAUGGAAUACCAAUUGCGAAGGCAGGUUACUACCAAUUGAUUGACGCUGAUGGACGAAAGCGUGGGUAGCGAACAGGAUUAGAUACCCGCGUAGUCCCUGUCUCUUAUAC